UGGGGCGUGGCCGAGUGGUAAGGCGACGGGUUUUGGUCCCGCUCUUCGUAGGUUCGAAUCCUUCCGUCCCAG
RNAcentral lists this transfer RNA (72 nucleotides) under Phelipanche ramosa. RNAcentral's name for it is "tRNA-Gln". It matches the Rfam family "tRNA". From Rfam's summary of the family: Transfer RNA (tRNA) molecules are approximately 80 nucleotides in length. Their secondary structure includes four short double-helical elements and three loops (D, anti-codon, and T loops). Lineage: Eukaryota; Viridiplantae; Streptophyta; Magnoliopsida; Lamiales; Orobanchaceae. The record is from RNAcentral. RNAcentral also lists the same sequence under 4 other names.